CAGUAGCCGCGGGAAUACAGAGGGUGCGAGCGUUAAUCGGAUUUACUGGGCGUAAAGCGUGCGUAGGCGGCUUCUUAAGUCGGAUGUGAAAUCCCUGAGCUUAACUUAGGAAUUGCAUUCGAUACUGGGAAGCUAGAGUAUGGGAGAGGAUGGUAGAAUUCCAGGUGUAGCGGUGAAAUGCGUAGAGAUCUGGAGGAAUACCGAUGGCGAAGGCAGCCAUCUGGCCUAAUACUGACGCUGAGGUACGAAAGCAUGGGGAGCAAACAGGACUAGAUACCCCGGUAGUCCCUGUCUCUUAUAA
Molecule: ribosomal RNA, 301 nt
Filed under: uncultured bacterium
Lineage: Bacteria
Description: partial 16S ribosomal RNA
Rfam family: Bacterial small subunit ribosomal RNA
Source: RNAcentral